Long non-coding RNA from Perca flavescens (yellow perch), 1294 nucleotides. RefSeq lists it as uncharacterized. Lineage: Eukaryota; Metazoa; Chordata; Actinopteri; Perciformes; Percidae. The record is from RefSeq and is a predicted model, not a curated record. The transcript has 3 exons.
GCCAUCCAAUCUUUGCGGUCAAACAUGGCGUUGCAACUUACCGAGCUCCACCGAAGAACAAGUGAAGUUAGCAUGCUAAGAAACCGAGAAUGGACAGGACAGGUGUCUGAAAAAUAAACGAAUUGAGAAGCCAGCCACAUUUGGCCUCACAACCAACAAUGGAGAGUUAAAAACAUUUUUUUUAUUUUUCAAAAACAGUAGAGUUAGCAUGCUUUCAGUGUUGCUAAUUAUGCUAAUGUAAACUACGUGUUGGCUAGCAGCAGAUGGAGAGAGGAGUAGAGGACCAUCAUAGCAACAAGUGCAGUGGGACGUUACUGUGGACACUUCAUCUCCAUGAAAAAGGAAAAUGGGCUUCAACAUCAAAUAACGAGCUGCAGAAGAGGAAUGGGAGGAAGACGUUUCCUGGAAUUUGAUGUUGUAAGGAUGAAGAUCAGAGUCAUAUGAUGGCUGGGAACUUUGAAGUGAAGCCGAGGCUCGGUAGCAGUUCUACAGCUAUCACAAAGCCUGAUCCAGGAACAUCAUUGGUGUCCAAAGAUGGCAGUGGAUUUCCUCUCUGGCCCCUGAUUGGAGCGCAUCUCAGCAACAACUUGACACUAUCCAAACUGCAGCGAUGCCGUGAUCCCACCGCUACUUACUUCACACAAACUACACAUGCUCUAAAAGUUAAAACACAAUUUUCGCAUCCAGAGCCAGUAAAACGUAUGAGAUGCUCCAUCCACACUCAAUCAAAUUCCAGGUCCUCUUAGUUUUCAGAGUCACAAAAGGUAGGUAUAGACCUUUAUGUGCAGGUUCCCUCCCUCUGAAGAGACAUAUUAACAGGCUUAUGUGACUAAUGGAUGUAGUGGGAUCUAAUUUAAAGCAGGGAGGGUAUCAAAUCCACGGCUGCACAAAGACAUUAAAGGAAGUCCUCUGGGAGGCCACAGAGUUUUGAUCCCUGCCGCCCCUCGUGGGAUGCCUAGUCGUUCAUUAUGUCGGAUAAAAACCAGAGCACAGAAAAAAGAAAAUACAGUAUUCUGUGCCUCUAAUGUGCCUGUAAUUUAUCGAACGAUACAAACGUUUGUAGUCUGGAUCGUCAUCACGUAUCAUGUCAGGACAGGAAGUAUUGGGGUGUGUGUUGUUUUUGAUGUGUGGUUGGGUAGAUUAUGGCCCUCAAAGAGAGGAGAGCUUAAGAGGAAUCCUUUAUGAAAAUAAUGGUGCCAUGUUGAGCUUCUAUUUGGCACGCCUUAUUAAUCUAAACAAUUCAAGAUAUCCAACUUGUUUUACAGUAGCAUUGCAUCUAAAUAAUUGUAUAUAA